GAUGAACGCUGGCGGCGUGCUUAACACAUGCAAGUCGAACGAAGCACUUUAUUUGAUUUCCUUCGGGACUGAUUAUUUUGUGACUGAGUGGCGGACGGGUGAGUAACGCGUGGGUAACCUGCCUUGUACAGGGGGAUAACAGUUGGAGACGGCUGCUAAUACCGCAUAAGCGCACGGCAUCGCAUGAUGCAGUGGGAAAAACUCCGGUGGUAUAAGAUGGACCCGCGUUGGAUUAGCGAGUUGGUGAGGUAACGGCCAACCAAGGCGACGAUCCAUAGCCGACCUGGGAGCGUGACAGGCCACGUUGGGACUGAGACACAGCCCAAACUCCUACGGGAGGCAGCAGUGGGGAAUAUUGCACAAUGGGCGAAAGCCUGAUGCAGCGACGCCGCGUGAGCGAAGAAGUAUUUCGGUAUGUAAAGCUCUAUCAGCAGGGAAGAUAAUGACGGUACCUGACUAAGAAGCACCGGCUAAAUACGUG
Molecule: ribosomal RNA, 481 nt
Filed under: uncultured bacterium
Lineage: Bacteria
Description: partial 16S ribosomal RNA
Rfam family: Bacterial small subunit ribosomal RNA
Source: RNAcentral